Long non-coding RNA from Etheostoma cragini (Arkansas darter), 110 nucleotides. RefSeq lists it as uncharacterized. The record is from RefSeq and is a predicted model, not a curated record. The transcript is spliced from 3 exons. NCBI's taxonomy places the organism in Eukaryota, Metazoa, Chordata, Actinopteri, Perciformes, Percidae.
GCUGUGCAUAGCUCAGAGUUUUUCCUGCCUGCCUCUACAACGUGUAACAAUAGACAGCCAAUCACCAGCAUUAUUAGAUCUUGGUUCAAGCAUGUUGCAUGCUCACUGAC